UAUGACGUCAUCAUCGGUGUCGGUCCCAUUGACCACACUGGCAUUACUUCUGGCGAGUUGUACUCCAGCCGAAGCAUCCUCUGGCACUCCCGUCAUCGCCAGCGCGUUUGCCGCAUACGGACACUACCUGUCCCUACUAGUCAUCACGGGUGCCCUCAUGGUA
Molecule: non-coding RNA, 163 nt
Filed under: Stephanopyxis turris
Lineage: Eukaryota; Bacillariophyta; Melosirophyceae; Stephanopyxales; Stephanopyxidaceae
Source: RNAcentral